Long non-coding RNA from Oreochromis aureus, 4256 nucleotides. The record is from Ensembl. Lineage: Eukaryota; Metazoa; Chordata; Actinopteri; Cichliformes; Cichlidae.
GCAUCAUCACCUGGCCACAAUGAAGGAUCACACCUGGGGGUACUUGUCAGCUGUUGCUAAACAAUACAGUUUAUUGUGAGUACCGCGACUGAUGGAAAAAAAUGCACAUGCACACUUUGGCAAGAUUAAUCACAUAUCAUUAUCUUUAACUAAGUCACUUACUGCCCUGUUCUGCUGUUCUCCUCCAUAGCACUUACUUGUUCCUUGUCAUUUAUAUAUUUUCUGAACCUCUUCAUUUGGAUGCUUGUGAUGUGCGUCACUGGUGUGUUCAACCACCUCUUCACAGAACUGUGUGCCUUCUGAAUGACCUCCCUCUGCUCAUCACUGAACUUCUCAGGUCCGUCCUUUUGGCUGCUGUACUGACAAUGUAAUUCCCACAUCUCUUGAAAGGUGGGAUGUUCAAACCCUUUCUGACCAUAGAUGCACCUGUCAAUGUUGGCCUUGAGGACUACAGAGACUUGCAUAUUCUGUGAGGUAAUCCUUCACCCACUGGUUCCCUAUCUCUCCCUUUCUUUGUGGAUUUGUCACCUCUGUUCUGUGCCUGUCAAGUAUGCUGGAAUCAUACAUACUGUCAGCAAUAUCUCCGUGAAUAUUACAAGAAAGUUUACAACGAACAAGAUAUACUAAUAAUUGCCUUACACGGGGAAAUGUGCAGUAAAUGGAAGUUCAGUAAACCUGCCUAUAGUAUGGUAUUAAAUAUAUGAUACACUCACUACUUCAUAUAUCCCCCACAUUUUCAUAUUAUCCAAAUGGCACCACCAGCUUUCCCAGGCACUGCUGACGUGAAGGCGCGUGGAUACCCUCGGCUUGAAGAAGCUUCUCUGCGUGAAUCAAUGCAGUGAUUUGGCUGAGCAGCUCCUGUGGAGGUUUGGGGAAGACCAUACUUCUCACCCGGUAGUAACGUACCUCUUUGGUUGCCAUAAGUAGUGCCAGCUGAUGAUGUGCAGGGGCAUCUGGAUUAACUACCCAAAUCGUUGGUGUCGCCAUACCAGGACUAGAAAUUGGAGUUAAAAAAGGUUAAAUUAGGUAUUCAGCGUCGUGUACUUUAGCUAAAUCCAGGAGUGUCUUAGAGUCGAUAACUUACCGUAAACAUAAAAGAAAUGUCAGUUUCCAUAAAAAAUAGUGGACUUGCCGGCUUCCUCGCUGUUCCGCUGCAUUUUGUUGUUUUGGUGACGCAACUUCCGUUGACCAGACGAUUGGUCGUCUACAGUGGGAUUCGGUGCUCCUAUUGACCUGAGUCUACAGUGUCUAUGUUCACCGUAGACUCCGGGCCAAUGAAAAGACGUAACGGUCUACAGACAGUGUAGACUCUGCACUACCGUAGACUCGACUUCUGCGAACUAGGAUUGUGCAACACAAAGUAAGUCACUGAGCGUGUAAUACUGCAACAGCUCCUCAAUAGGGUCUGCAAACCUUUCUAGUUUCCGUAGACCAAGAAAACACUCUUUGAAAUGGCCUUUACAUGACACAAAACAUACACAAACUGCAAGUUGUUCCGUGUGCCCAUCUCUAGCCUCAUCAGCCAUAACAGAGUACAUCUUAGCUUCCUUCAUCUCUUUAACUAUAUUUCCAGUUAUUUCAUGUGAAAUACUGGUUAUCAUCUCAUUUUGUGAAAAAUGAGACAGAUAGAUAAUAUGUGAGACAGGACUGUAAUUUUUGAAAUAUUGAUCAAAUAAUCUUCUGCAGCUUCAUGCACUCAAGGAAGUUCCCUUGAUGAUGACUGGUGGAUUCCUGCUGAUCAUGGCCACAGAAUGGUAUUCCUUGUUUUCCAAGGAAACUUGUUACAGCUAAGAUCCUGUGGAGAUACUGUCGUGUUGUUUGCUGAUGUAAGUUCCUCAACAACAUCACCUUGAUUUUUUGUGGUUUUAAAGCUGUGCCAGCUUAUCAUAGACGACGAACAGUUGGAACUCUUUUCGUACUCCUAAAGGCAUCUAAAGCCCUCUUCCAGUUGCAGAACCCUGAAAGACCGAGGCCAUCUUUUUUUUUUUUUUUUUUUUAAGUAUUCUGCUUUUCAAAAUGCGACAUGAAAAAAAGAAAGCAAAGUUCGUCACAACUGAAUACUCCUACCAUUUAAACUGUUCAACUCUUAUUGAACGCCCUCUGCUGGCCUCCAAACUGGCUCAGUGGAAACUGUGUGAGGACAGUUUGUCUUGGACCACUUCCUAGAGUUCCUAAAUCAUCUCCUGCUGCUCCUUCCAGUAAACCUCCUUCAGCUGUCCUUAACGAUCCACCUGCUGCUUCCUGCUGUGAUGCUGUUGUGUUUUGGUUUUCUGUCGCUUUCCUGAUUUCCCCUGACCUAUCUGAAAGAUCAGAAAGAGAAUCAUUACUAUUUAAUGAUCCCUCUGUAUUGGUCUUCAUGAGUUACUACUUUGUACCAUAUUAUUUUUUAAUUCUACCAAAGUCCACUAUUUAGAUUCAGAAAAGUUUAUGUAAUUAUUUAGCCUUGUUGUGCAAACAAGCCUGCAUAACUUAACAAAUGUAGAAUUUGAAAAAUACCAAACCUAAAAAGAGUUGUAAUAAGUUUUGGCAAACAACCAUUUGACUAACAUGUGUGUCUCACCUGGCUCUUGUUCCAUCUCUGUUCUGUCCUCAUUCUCCUCUCUGUUCCUCUCUCUCCCUCUCUGUGCUGACAAUCAAGCCACCAUCAACACCAACAUCAUCAAAUAUACAGCUGAAACCAGAUAUUUACAUACUCUUCAGAUAAAAACACAAAACAUCAAAUCAGACUAAAUAUUUUUUUUUGAUUGAUAAAUAUAAAAAACAUAUUUGUUAACUUUAAGAGUAAAGAAAGAAAUUGUCUGUAUUUCUUAGGCUACGUCCACACGUACACGGGUAUUUUUGAAAACGGAGAUUUUCCGUUUUCGUUUUAAAAAAUAAUCCCGUCCACAAGUAAACGCAGAAAUGAAGGAAAACGCUGCUAGGAACAUGCCAAAGCAACAGGUGGCGAUAUAUUCCUAACCGUGUAGAAAUGUUGGCCAAUCAGAAGUCUAGACGCCUCGGUGGGAAAUAGUAAACAAAGAUGGGGCAUAGAAGCAGAACCGAGUCGUAUGUGUGGAGGGACAGUAACUGUGUGUGUAUAUGUAAGCAUUUAAACACUGCAGAGAGUACAAUUAACAGUAUUGUAGAAAUUCAUUUAACCGAAACAAUAACGUGGCGCACAGUGUGACGUCAAAAAAGGCGCACACCUUUGACGCUGCGUUUUCUCCGUUUUCCUCGUCCACACGUAAAUGCAAAAACGGAGUUUUGGAAAAUAUCCACCCUGGCCGGAGUUUUUAGAAAUCUCCGUUUUCAGUGACCGAAAACGCCGUUUACGUGUGGACGAAAGGUGCAAACGCAUAGAAAAAUCGGCGUUUUCAAAAAUACCCGGGUACGUGUGGACGUAGCCUUAAUUGCAAAUGGCACCAAAUUGUAUUCAAAAUUGAGCCACACUUAUGGAGCUCCACAGUUCUUUUCCUGGUGUUUUGGUUGAUAUCUCUUGAUUUUCCCCAUGUCAAAGAAACAGGCUCUUGUCGUGUCCAAAUUCAUGGGCUGCAUCCUCCUGAGGACCCGGCCUUCGUGGACUACGUGGGCCGGGUCCUCAGAAGGUCGGGUAGGCCGGAAGUAAACAGCAGUGAAAUUGGACGGUCUAGCCUUCUGAUUAGCAUCACCGCUAAAAUAUAACAGGACACUCCAGUGUCCUGUUAUAUUUUCAAACUAAUUACACUUCUGUGUAAUCAGUUUUCUGUUUGACUUUUAUUCAGCUGUGUGAAAACACAGCUACAUUCUCACCUGAAAACAUGUUAAAAGUUUAUUUUGUGACCCAGAAAGAUUAAUAAGAGUAAUUUUAAAACUUAGUAGCGGCCGCCAUUGCCAGAAACUGGUGUUUGGCUGGGCCGCGAUAUGAAUUCUGGGAUAUGGUGGGCCACGAAGGACACACCUGACCCAUCCUUCAAAUUCGGGGAAAAGGAGGACACAUUUGUCGGCUGCAUUCGGAGUCUACGAAUUUGGACAGCCUUUGGCGUGUCACUGUGAUGUAAUCGGUCUACAAAUGCGUCCUCAGGAGGAUUUGGACACGACCGUUGUGUGUUGGGGUGCCUUAUAUGCAUCCACAGGUGUGCCCCAAUUUACUCACAUGGACUCUACUAACCUAUCAGAAGCUUCUUCAGCUCAGAAUGGAAUCGUCUGCAGUUUUCUUAUGAAUUAACAAUAAACUUAGUGUAUAUGUACUCCUAAAUUUGAUGAAAGUGAUAAUAAAUAGACAGCUCUGUCUCUCUUUA